Molecule: non-coding RNA, 427 nt
Organism: Parasteatoda tepidariorum (common house spider)
Lineage: Eukaryota; Metazoa; Arthropoda; Arachnida; Araneae; Theridiidae
Source: RefSeq, a predicted model, not a curated record
CCCCCCCCCUUAGUUACAAGAAGAAACUGAAGAGAUCGUCCUAUUUUCACAGUGUAUAUAUGACUGAAAAUGGGGGUCAUCCACCAAUUUUAAGCGCCGCAGAACAGCAGAGAAUUUACGAAUGGCAAGAGAUGAAUGCUCCGCUUGCAGAUGCAGCUUCCUUCAGAAGUUACCCGACUCUCAGAUGACGGACUCUAUUCUCGUGCAGAGUGAUAAUCGCCAGUGACUAGUGCGUCAGAGUGACGUCAGAUGCGAGAUGCAUUUGAUGCCGAUGUUAAGCAGUUAUUACUGGUGAAACUAAUCGCCUGUACUAAAAAAGACUAUUUAUAAUAAACUUCAUUUUAAUUUAUACAUAAUUAUAUAUUGUACAGAUGAGUGAUGUACAGUUCAUUUUCUUUUUAUUUAUAAAUAUUUUGUUUACAUGUCU